Long non-coding RNA from Mya arenaria, 696 nucleotides. RefSeq lists it as uncharacterized. NCBI's taxonomy places the organism in Eukaryota, Metazoa, Mollusca, Bivalvia, Myida, Myidae. The transcript has 7 exons. The record is from RefSeq and is a predicted model, not a curated record.
CUGAUUGAAGAUGAAUGAAAUACCAAAAAGUGAAACUACGCCUGACAAUUAUUGAACAGUUGUUUUUGUAGAUAAGUAUUAGUGACCGAGUUGGAGAUACAGUUGCAGGUUGCGAUAGUGAAGUACAUAAUUCUGUUUGUUUUCUAAAGUGGUAGAAAUACAAUGGGGGUUUGAUGUGGAAAGAUGUCUGUACGAAGUUUAUAUAACGGGUUAGAAUGUGGACUUACAUCCACCAGAAGCUUGGGGAUGUCUCGCCAGAACUUAGACAGAAUGCUGGAGAACUACGAUACAACUUCACAUUAACAUCCACUUGGUUUAACAGAUCGAGAUAGUCCAUCGAAUUCUGACCACUGAUUUGAAACUCAAUGGGAGUAUCAUCCGACACUUGGGAUAUUGGACGAAUCUCUUGAUAAUGGACAUCAUUCACCGCAACUUGUGUAGGAGCUCACUUUUCGCCUGGUUUACUGUCUGUUCCGAUGGGGAAACUGUGCUGAUUGUCAUACCAUUACUUCCCAUCUUCGACUUGUGUGGAAUGGCAAAUCCCCUCCCAACUUGAGAUCAUCCGGGGAUAUCGCCAUAUUGAAAACCCGCCAGAGGUUCGGUCCACGUCCAUGGUGCUCGGGAUGAGUCAUUGGAGGACGAAGAUCGGGUGUCCUUAUGCUGCCAUGAAAUGUCGGUUUCAUGAUGUCCAAUUAU